RNAcentral lists this ribosomal RNA (535 nucleotides) under uncultured Mycobacterium sp. Its description in RNAcentral is "bacterial SSU rRNA". It matches the Rfam family "Bacterial small subunit ribosomal RNA", at positions 54 to 606 of the family's 1533-position model. The record is from RNAcentral. Lineage: Bacteria; Bacillati; Actinomycetota; Actinomycetes; Mycobacteriales; Mycobacteriaceae.
CAUGCAAGUCGAACGGAAAGGCCCUUCGGGGUACUCGAGUGGCGAACGGGUGAGUAACACGUGGGUGAUCUGCCCUGCACUUUGGGAUAAGCCUGGGAAACUGGGUCUAAUACCGAAUAAGACUACGCGAUGCAUGUCGUGUGGUGGAAAGCUUUUGCGGUGUGGGAUGGGCCCGCGGCCUAUCAGCUUGUUGGUGAGGUUACGGCUCACCAAGGCGACGACGGGUAGCCGGCCUGAGAGGGUGACCGGCCACACUGGGACUGAGAUACGGCCCAGACUCCUACGGGAGGCAGCAGUGGGGAAUAUUGCACAAUGGGCGCAAGCCUGAUGCAGCGACGCCGCGUGAGGGAUGACGGCCUUCGGGUUGUAAACCUCUUUCAGUAGGGACGAAGCGCAAGUGACGGUACCUAUAGAAGAAGGACCGGCCAACUACGUGCCAGCAGCCGCGGUAAUACGUAGGGUCCGAGCGUUGUCCGGAAUUACUGGGCGUAAAGAGCUCGUAGGUGGUUUGUCGCGUUGUUCGUGAAAACUCACA